AACGAACGCUGGCGGCAUGCCUAACACAUGCAAGUCGAACGAGACCUUCGGGUCUAGUGGCGCACGGGUGCGUAACGCGUGGGAAUCUGCCCUUGGGUUCGGAAUAACAGUUGGAAACGACUGCUAAUACCGGAUGAUGACGUAAGUCCAAAGAUUUAUCGCCCAGGGAUGAGCCCGCGUAGGAUUAGCUAGUUGGUUGGGUAAAGGCCUACCAAGGCGACGAUCCUUAGCUGGUCUGAGAGGAUGAUCAGCCACACUGGGACUGAGACACGGCCCAGACUCCUACGGGAGGCAGCAGUGGGGAAUAUUGGACAAUGGGCGAAAGCCUGAUCCAGCAAUGCCGCGUGAGUGAUGAAGGCCUUAGGGUUGUAAAGCUCUUUUACCCGGGAUGAUAAUGACAGUACCGGGAGAAUAAGCCCCGGCUAACUCCGUG
Molecule: ribosomal RNA, 433 nt
Filed under: uncultured bacterium
Lineage: Bacteria
Description: partial 16S ribosomal RNA
Rfam family: Bacterial small subunit ribosomal RNA
Source: RNAcentral